GUCGACGGCCACACCUAGGCGAAAACACCAGUUCCCGUCCGAUCACUGCAGUUAAGCGUCUGAGGGUCUCGUUAGUACUAUGGUUGGAGACAACAUGGGAAUCCGGGAUGCUGUAGGCU
RNAcentral lists this ribosomal RNA (119 nucleotides) under Schizosaccharomyces octosporus yFS286. Lineage: Eukaryota; Fungi; Ascomycota; Schizosaccharomycetes; Schizosaccharomycetales; Schizosaccharomycetaceae. The record is from RNAcentral.